CUACGUAGGUGACAAGCGUUAUCCGGAUUUACUGGGUGUAAAGGGCGUGUAGGCGGUUUAGCAAGUCAGAAGUGAAAUUCCCGGGCUUAACUUGGGCGCUGCUUCUGAAACUGCUUUACUUGAGUGCUGGAGAGGAUAGUGGAAUUCCUAGUGUAGCGGUAAAAUGCGCAGAUAUUAGGAGGAACACCGGUGGCGAAGGCGGCUAUCUGGACAGUAACUGACGCUGAGGCGCGAAAGCACGGGGAGCAAACAGGAUUAGAUACCCUGGUAGUCCGUGCCGUAAACGAUGAAUACUAGGUGUAGGGGGUAUCGACUCCCUCUGUGCCGCAGUUAACACAUUAAGUAUUCCACCUGGGGAGUACGGCCGCAAGGUUGAGACUCAAAGGAAUUGACGGGG
Molecule: ribosomal RNA, 397 nt
Filed under: uncultured bacterium
Lineage: Bacteria
Description: partial 16S ribosomal RNA
Rfam family: Bacterial small subunit ribosomal RNA
Source: RNAcentral